This 808-nucleotide ribosomal RNA is filed under the name uncultured bacterium. RNAcentral's name for it is "bacterial SSU rRNA". It matches the Rfam family "Bacterial small subunit ribosomal RNA", at positions 80 to 892 of the family's 1533-position model. The record is from RNAcentral.
CUUGCUCCUUUGAGACCGGCGCACGGGUGCGUAACGCGUAUGCAAUCUACCUUUCACAGAGGGAUAGCCCAGAGAAAUUUGGAUUAAUACCUCAUAGUAUAGCAGUUUCGCAUGAAACCACUAUUAAAGUCACAACGGUGAAAGAUGAGCAUGCGUCCCAUUAGCUAGUUGGUAAGGUAACGGCUUACCAAGGCAACGAUGGGUAGGGGUCCUGAGAGGGAGAUCCCCCACACUGGUACUGAGACACGGACCAGACUCCUACGGGAGGCAGCAGUGAGGAAUAUUGGACAAUGGGCGCAAGCCUGAUCCAGCCAUGCCGCGUGCAGGAUGACGGUCCUAUGGAUAGUAAACUGCUUUUGUACAGGAAGAAACACCUCUACGUGUAGAGACUUGACGGUACUGUAAGAAUAAGGAUCGGCUAACUCCGUGCCAGCAGCCGCGGUAAUACGGAGGAUCCAAGCGUUAUCCGGAAUCAUUGGGUUUAAAGGGUCCGUAGGCGGUUUAGUAAGUCAGUGGUGAAAGCCCAUCGCUCAACGGUGGAACGGCCAUUGAUACUGCUAGACUUGAAUUAUUAGGAAGUAACUAGAAUAUGUAGUGUAGCGGUGAAAUGCUUAGAGAUUACAUGGAAUACCAAUUGCGAAGGCAGGUUACUACUAAUUGAUUGACGCUGAUGGACGAAGGCGUGGGUAGCGAACAGGAUUAGAUACCCUGGUAGUCCACGCCGUAACGAUGGAUACUAGCUGUUGGGCGCAAGUUCAGUGGCUAAGCGAAAGUGAUAAGUAUCCCACCUGGGGAGUACGUUCGCAAG